Aplysia californica (California sea hare) is the source of this 1485-nucleotide long non-coding RNA. RefSeq lists it as uncharacterized. The record is from RefSeq and is a predicted model, not a curated record. Lineage: Eukaryota; Metazoa; Mollusca; Gastropoda; Aplysiida; Aplysiidae.
UGCUGACUCGCGGCGUGGCCUUGACCUACAGUUCUCCCCUCGUAAGUUCCCGAAGCGGCAGAGGUCAAGGACAGAGGAGAUCCACAGCCCGACCUCCCCGACCAUCCCCGAGUCACCGCUGGAGAUAGACGCGCCCCCAGCGGUGGCAGAGUCUCCACGCGCUCGUCCUGCCAGACCCAGGUGUUAGAUCUACACACCGUCUGGAUCAAUAACAACAUCUACACAGCCGUCUGGAUCAAUAACAACAUCUACACAGCCGUCUGGAUCAAUAACAACAUCUACACAGCCGUCACGGGAGCUAGCGACCUUGCUCUCCGCCUCACUUCCUGUCUACACAAGUGGCGAGAAAUACGGCCCACUUUCGGCUCCUUCUAUUUGCCUUGAGCAAUGGUGCGAGAUGGCGCUGCAAGAUGGCGAUACUUAGCGGUACUGCCACUCAAAGAAUUAUGCCUGACAAUAAAUUAUCUGACACAUGCUGAAUUAUCUGAUAUGUGUUGAACUGUCUGAUACGUGUUGAACUGUCUGAGACGUGUUGAACUAUCUGAGACGUGUUGGAUUAUCUGAGACGUGUUGAGAAAUGUGACGAAUGGACUGCUCUCCAGAUCCUUGUAGUUUUUCAUCAUUUCCCUAAUUUUUCGUUCCCUUGUUCUUGUUGUGAAAUGUGCCGCUGUGCAAACUGUAGACUAGCUAGAAACUAUAGUAGUAAGCUGACAACUUCACAAUAAUUCAUUUUGUGAUAGCUGAUUUGAUUCAUAAGCUUCAUGAUGCUCAAAAUAUUUAUCCUAUGAUAAUUUGACAGUGUAAUCUUAAAGCUAAAUUAUAUAAGUGGUGAGGAUAUUACAGUCUCAUCCACAUUGAGCCAGUGUUUUUACAAUACAAAUGUUUGUUUGUCAAUUAUUUAGGAAUGUCAGAUGAGGAUGACAAAUGAGUGUUAAUUAACUACUGUUUGUUUGGGAUGAAACUUUCUUCAUUUUGUUGUCAUAUUGUUAUGAAUUGAUUGAGGAACGGUGAGACGCGUUUGAUAUAGAUCCAAGUUUCUCCUCUAUCCUGGCGGCUUAUUUCAGGAAACCUGUUUGUGUCGGCGUGCGGCGGUGGAGUCAGGCCCUCGGCAACUUUUGGACAUAUAGAGAGUCAUUGUUGGAGCCUUAAAGCUGGUUCAUUUGUCUUGAUUGUGGUAAAAAAAGAAGGAAAAUCCAUCUAUCUUGAAUAGAUGGAGAAACAUGUGCAAUUAAAGGAAGGGGGGGGGGGGGUCGCCUGUUUCAUAAGUUAAAUUAGCGAGAAGAUGGCUUCCAUAGUUUGGUGACUGACGAAGCUUGAGAGUCCUUGGAAACUGCCAAUUUACAUCUUUUGUGUCUUUGAUCCAAGUUUGAAAAGUAAGAUCCUCACAGAAAUGUGUUUGUUAAAUGGAUGUUAAAGUUGCCAGCCAAAUUUUAAAAUUAUUUUUAUCAGAUCAAAAUUGCCCAACAGGUGAGAAAUGUCCAUUUU